UACGAAGGGGGCUAGCGUUGUUCGGAAUCACUGGGCGUAAAGCGCACGCAGGCGGAUCGUUAAGUCAGGGGGGAAAUGCCGAGGCUCAACCUCGGAACUGCCUUUGAUACUGGCGAUCUUAGAGUCCGGGAGAGGUGAGUGGAACUCCGAGUGUAGAGGUGAAAUGCGUAGAUAUCGUAAGGAAGACCAGUGGCGAAGGCGGGUCUCUGGACAGUUCCUGACGCUGAGGCACGAAGGUCAGGGGAGCAAACGGG
Molecule: ribosomal RNA, 254 nt
Filed under: uncultured bacterium
Lineage: Bacteria
Description: partial 16S ribosomal RNA
Rfam family: Bacterial small subunit ribosomal RNA
Source: RNAcentral